AAUAAUUGACCUCGGAUCAGGUAGGGAUACCCGCUGAACUUAA
This 43-nucleotide ribosomal RNA is filed under the name Parmelia barrenoae. Its description in RNAcentral is "partial 28S ribosomal RNA". The record is from RNAcentral. Lineage: Eukaryota; Fungi; Ascomycota; Lecanoromycetes; Lecanorales; Parmeliaceae.